AUGGAGGUGGUUGCGGCGACGAAUCUCGGCGGACGCCGUCCUCCAUGGCAGGACCUCCCGUCGGAGCUGCUGGGCCUCGUGCUCCAGCGCGUGCUCUCCCACGCCGACCGCGUCCGCCUCCGCGCCGUCUGUCGCCAGUGGCGCUCCGGCGCGCGCCUGCAGCCUCCGCUGCCGCCGCUGCUCCCGUGGCUCGCCCUCCGCGACGGCUCCUUCCUCAGCCUCUCCGACGGCGAGGUCCACCGCCGCGGCCUCGCCCCGGACGACAACGUCGCGCACCGCUUCUCCACCGGCAGCAAGCUCUUCCUCGUGCACAAUGACAAAAGGUUCUCGUGCUCGCUGGUGAACCCUCUCGCUCGGGAGACGACGGCCACCCAGCGCAUCAACCUCAACCGCCUCCGGGCUCGGCGGGGCGUCCUGCUCGACGCCGGCAACAUCCGCAAGGUGGUGGUGAUGUCCGACCACAUUACCGCCGUCCAGACGGGGAGCCAGGUGAGCGGUCGGAAGGUGAUCACCAUCUCCAUCCGCAGGCCCCAGUCAACGACCGUGGAAUGGCAGUGGCAGUGGAUCCCCCAUGGAGGCACCUACUGA
RNAcentral lists this ribosomal RNA (588 nucleotides) under Triticum aestivum (bread wheat). Its description in RNAcentral is "partial small subunit ribosomal RNA". The record is from RNAcentral. Lineage: Eukaryota; Viridiplantae; Streptophyta; Magnoliopsida; Poales; Poaceae.